CAGAAGAGAGAGAGCACAAU
This 20-nucleotide microRNA is filed under the name Camelina sativa (false flax). RNAcentral describes it as "cas-miR156i". Its record names the gene cas-miR156i. The record is from miRBase by way of RNAcentral. Lineage: Eukaryota; Viridiplantae; Streptophyta; Magnoliopsida; Brassicales; Brassicaceae.